CUUGACUGUAGCCUGGAAUUGGGUUCGGGCUUUUCUUGCGCAGACUAGGUGGGAGGCUAUGAAGAUUUCCUUCCGGGGAAGUUGGAGCCAACAGUGAGAGACCACUCUGGAGAGGCUAGAAUCCUAAUGGUGAUCCGUGAAUCCGGACACUUGACAGUUUCAGGUGGGCAGUUUUUCUGGGGCGGAAGCCUCAUAAAAGGUAACUGAGGCGCGCAAAGGUUCCCUCAGUCUGGACGGAAAUCAGACAUUGAGUGUAAAGGCAAAAGGGAGCUUGACUGCAAGACCUACAAGUCGAGCAGGAGCGAAAGCUGGCCUUAGUGAUCCGACGGUUCCGCGUGGAAGGGCCGUCGCUCAACGAAUAAAAGUUA
Molecule: ribosomal RNA, 368 nt
Filed under: uncultured organism
Description: bacterial LSU rRNA
Rfam family: Bacterial large subunit ribosomal RNA
Source: RNAcentral